GCUCACAUCAACAGACACAUACCAAAAUUAGAAUGAUACAGAGAAGAUUAGCAUGGCCCCCAACAAGGAUCAAACACAACUUCGUGGAUAGGACUUUAGUUGC
Molecule: small nuclear RNA, 103 nt
Organism: Arvicanthis niloticus (Nile rat)
Lineage: Eukaryota; Metazoa; Chordata; Mammalia; Rodentia; Muridae
Source: RefSeq, a predicted model, not a curated record